Molecule: ribosomal RNA, 218 nt
Filed under: Salmonella enterica subsp. enterica serovar Kentucky
Lineage: Bacteria; Pseudomonadati; Pseudomonadota; Gammaproteobacteria; Enterobacterales; Enterobacteriaceae
Description: partial 23S ribosomal RNA
Rfam family: Bacterial large subunit ribosomal RNA
Source: RNAcentral
GGGUUGUGAGGUUAAGCGACUAAGCGUACACGGUGGAUGCCCUGGCAGUCAGAGGCGAUGAAGGACGUGCUAAUCUGCGAUAAGCGUCGGUAAGGUGAUAUGAACCGUUAUAACCGGCGAUUUCCGAAUGGGGAAACCCAGUGUGAUUCGUCACACUAUCGUUAACUGAAUACAUAGGUUAACGAAGCGAACCGGGGGAACUGAAACAUCUAAGUACC